AAAGCGCCUGUAGGUUGUUUAGUAAGUCCGUUGUUAAAUACUAGGGCUUAACCCUGGGAAAGCAAUAGAAACUACUAGACUUGAGUAUGGCAGGGGUAGAGGGAAUUUCUAGUGUAGCGGUGAAAUGCGUAGAUAUUAGAAAGAACACCGGCGGCGAAAGCGCUCUACUGGACCAUUACUGACACUGAGAGGCGAAAGCUAGGGUAGCAAAAGGGAUUAGAUACCCCUGUAGUCCUAGCCGUAAACGGUGGAUACUAGGUGUUGUGCAAAUUGUACAGUAUCUUAGCUAACGCGUUAAGUAUCCCGCCUGGGGAGUACGCUCGCAAGGGUGAAACUCAAAGGAAUUGACGGGGGCCCGCACAAGCGGUGGAGCAUGUGGUUUAAUUCGAUGCAACGCGAAGAACCUUACCAGGGCUUGACAUACUGCAGAUCUUCUAGAAACAGAAGAGUACCUUCGGGAAUGUAGAUACAGGUGGUGCAUGGCUGUCGUCAGCUCGUGUCGUGAGAUGUUGGGUUAAGUCCCGCAACGAGCGCAACCCUCGUUUUUAGUUGCCAAUUUAUUGGGUUUUCUAGAAAGACUGCCGGUGACAAACCGGAGGAAGGUGAGGAUGACGUCAAGUCAGCAUGCCCCUUAUGUCCUGGGCCACACACGUGCUACAAUGGCGGAGACAAAGAGUCGCAAACCUGCGAAGGUUAGCUA
RNAcentral lists this ribosomal RNA (700 nucleotides) under Dicrateria inornata. RNAcentral's name for it is "bacterial SSU rRNA". It matches the Rfam family "Bacterial small subunit ribosomal RNA", at positions 562 to 1270 of the family's 1533-position model. The record is from RNAcentral. Lineage: Eukaryota; Haptophyta; Isochrysidales; Isochrysidaceae.